ACGGGUGUGCAGCUUCUUUAGGAGAUGGGAAUAAUGACAGGCUAUAGAUCCUGCCUUUAUUGGGGUGGUGCUGGCAGCCCGGAUCUCAGUCCCUGCUCCAUCAGCAUCCCCAUGCAGAUCCUAUCCCCUGCUCUAUUUUAAAACUUUUGCACAUCCUAUCCCCCCCACCCCAUCAGUUUAAAAGCAAGCAGAGCCAAAAUAUCCUCACAAACCCCAGCUCCUUCCUUGUGUACAGCUCCCAGCACUGGGGCUUGGAGGUGGUUUUAAGGGCAGUUCUCUGAGUGCAGGUUUCUGCUCUUUUCCUCAGGUUUUCCUACAUGGAAAUGCUGCAAGUUGAGAUGAGGGUGGGCUGCUCCUGAUGCAAACCUGCCUGGUUAAAGCCACAGGAGAAGCCCUCUUGCUUCCAGCUCCUCGUUUCCACAUGGAGGAGAGGGCACAGAAGAGAGGAAGAAAGGGUCAGGGAAUGACUCUCCCCCCACCCGCUGAUGAGGUCCCAAAAUUUCUUUUCUCACUGGGCAGUGAACAGUGAGGGACAAGCAUCCUCCAGCCACUGUCCCACACCAUGAGCUGGAGCAGCUUCUCCUUCUCUUCUGGGAUCAAUGCUGAAGUUUGGUCACAUUUCUUGGCUCAGUUGGCAGUGAUUAAAAUUCACGGCUCACUUUUGUUUAUAGUUGGUUGUUUACUUUGUUGAAUUUUUAAAAACUUGUUAGAAUGCAAUUGAACACAGAUUCAACAGUAUUUAGGCUUGAAAAAUAAAGAUGCA
Cyanistes caeruleus (blue tit) is the source of this 763-nucleotide non-coding RNA. The record is from RefSeq and is a predicted model, not a curated record. NCBI's taxonomy places the organism in Eukaryota, Metazoa, Chordata, Aves, Passeriformes, Paridae.